UGCCAGCAGCCGCGGUAAUACGAGAGGUUCGAGCGUUACGCGGAAUUACUGGGCGUAAAGCGCACGUAGGCGGAUUAGAAAGUUAGAGGUGAAAUCCCGGGGCUCAACCCCGGAACUGCCUUUAAAACUACUAGUCUAGAGUUCGAGAGAGGUGAGUGGAAUUCCGAGUGUAGAGGUGAAAUUCGUAGAUAUUCGGAGGAACACCAGUGGCGAAGGCGGCUCACUGGCUCGAUACUGACGCUGAGGUGCGAAAGUGUGGGGAGCAAACGGGAUUAGAUA
Molecule: ribosomal RNA, 279 nt
Filed under: uncultured bacterium
Lineage: Bacteria
Description: partial 16S ribosomal RNA
Rfam family: Bacterial small subunit ribosomal RNA
Source: RNAcentral